GCUGAGAUAGCUCAGUCAGUAGAGCAUGUGUCUCUUAAUCUCAAGGUUGUGGGAUUGAGCCCCACGAUGGGCA
This is a non-coding RNA of Podarcis lilfordi (Lilford's wall lizard), 73 nucleotides long. The record is from the annotation of a GenBank genome assembly. NCBI's taxonomy places the organism in Eukaryota, Metazoa, Chordata, Lepidosauria, Squamata, Lacertidae.